RNAcentral lists this unclassified non-coding RNA (223 nucleotides) under Microbacterium oleivorans. RNAcentral describes it as "contains 16S-23S intergenic spacer region". The record is from RNAcentral. Lineage: Bacteria; Bacillati; Actinomycetota; Actinomycetes; Micrococcales; Microbacteriaceae.
UCCGAGUUGACCCCGGCAGUAUCCCAUGAGUUCCCACCAUUACGUGCUGGCAACAUAGAACGAGGGUUGCGCUCGUUGCGGGACUUAACCCAACAUCUCACGACACGAGCUGACGACAACCAUGCACCACCUGUUUACGAGUGUCCAAAGAGUUGACCAUUUCUGGCCCGUUCUCGUAUAUGUCAAGCCUUGGUAAGGUGGGGAUGACGUAGGAGGAAUUCCA